UUUCCCAAACUUGCUUCGAAGGAAAAAGCCCUAACGAUGGAGGACAGUGAAUUCCUAGCUUAUGUGUUUGGAUGCUUAAAGAAGAUUAUUUGAAGACGGCUUUUGGAAUCAAUUAGCAUGGACCCCAGCAGUGACUACCAUUUCCUCAGCCAGAUUUUGUGGAAGAGAGUGAAACUCACAUUGGUCUGUGGCGUCUUCGAGGGUGUGCUUCAGCAUGUUGACCCUAAUAAGAUUGUUGUCCUGAAGAAAGUGAAGAAUGUGGAGACAGGUCGAAGUGUCCCAGGAGUGAAGUUGUUUUUUGGGCAUGAGAUUGUGAAUGGCCUGCUGGUGCUUAUCACUACGGACUUAGACAAGCGGGCAUUUAGGAAUGUGAACAGGAAGGGAUUGUUUUGCUAAGCAAGCUACUUAAAAUUCACAGUCCAUUCACAAUUCCUCAUCCAAAACCUUGGGGCCAAAUGUCUCAGAAUCAAGAAUUGUUCUGGAAUUUUGGAAAAUUGGAACUACUAGAUGAAGUGGAACAAGGCUCAAUGAGAGCAAAAACAUCUUCUGUUAGUCUACAUGCAGAAAGAACCCGGAUGGAGAAAAUGAAAGUUGAAGACCU
Molecule: small RNA, 601 nt
Filed under: Pongo abelii (Sumatran orangutan)
Lineage: Eukaryota; Metazoa; Chordata; Mammalia; Primates; Hominidae
Description: processed transcript
Source: RNAcentral